RNAcentral lists this ribosomal RNA (301 nucleotides) under uncultured bacterium. Its description in RNAcentral is "partial 16S ribosomal RNA". It matches the Rfam family "Bacterial small subunit ribosomal RNA", at positions 509 to 807 of the family's 1533-position model. The record is from RNAcentral.
CAGUAGCCGCGGGAAUACGGAGGGGGCUAGCGUUAAUCGGAAUUACUGGGCGUAAAGCGUGCGCAGGCGGUUCGUUAAGACAGAUGUGAAAUCCCCGGGCUUAACCUGGGAACUGCAUUUGUGACUGGCGAGCUAGAGUAUGGCAGAGGGGGGUAGAAUUCCACGUGUAGCAGUGAAAUGCGUAGAGAUGUGGAGGAAUACCGAUGGCGAAGGCAGCCCCCUGGGCCAAUACUGACGCUCAUGCACGAAAGCGUGGGGAGCAAACAGGAUUAGAUACCCCGGUAGUCCCUGUCUCUUAUAC